UAGCCGCGGUAAUACGAAGGGUGCAAGCGUUAAUCGGAAUUACUGGGCGUAAAGCGUGCGUAGGCGGUUUGUUAAGUCUGCUGUGAAAUCCCCGGGCUCAACCUGGGAAUGGCAGUGGAUACUGGCAAGCUAGAGUGUGUCAGAGGAUGGUGGAAUUCCCGGUGUAGCGGUGAAAUGCGUAGAGAUCGGGAGGAACAUCAGUGGCGAAGGCGGCCAUCUGGGACAACACUGACGCUGAGGCACGAAAGCGUGGGGGGCAAACAGGAUUAGAUACCCGCGUAGUCCCUGUCUCUUAUACACA
Molecule: ribosomal RNA, 301 nt
Filed under: uncultured bacterium
Lineage: Bacteria
Description: partial 16S ribosomal RNA
Rfam family: Bacterial small subunit ribosomal RNA
Source: RNAcentral